CUAUGACAGCUAGCUCGUGCGGAUGAAACUUCCAGGCCCCACACAUUUGCCAGUAUCAGGAUCAACAAUCUCAUUAGGAAAAUGGAGAAUUUGGAUUCUGGAGAAACCAUAGUUUACCUGAAGCUUUGGCUCUAUCUUCAUGCCUGCAUCCAGUCAAGGACACAUCUUUGUGACUUUUUGCAUAAAAGUGGUUGGGAGAAACAAGGCUGUACCAGACCCUCGGGGGCAUUUCUUCUCAUCCUUCAUCUUUUAGCACUGUGAUUCUCUGAGGCUGCAGGGUACGUUACUCAGUCAUCUUUUCUGUCAGCCACUAUGGUAUCAGCUGGAACAACAAACAAGCCAAUAAAGAAGAAUGGAGAUGGAACCUGGAAUGCUAUGAAAGUGAUCAUCCAUUGACUACAUAUCUAGCCCUGUUUCCUAAAAAAUGAGCACACCCAAGCCCUCAGGCUCAUCCCUAGCGCUGCAGUCGAACACCAGCUGCAGUCGGACACCAGCUGCAGUCGGACACCAGCUGCAGUCGGACACCAGCUGCAGUCGGACACCAGCUGCAGUCGGACACCAGCUGCAGUCUUCUUUUUGCCCUCCCCAUGCCUCCUGCGGAUCCUACAGACCAUUCCCUCUUGGCAUCCCAUAAAUCAGCAUCUAGAUCUAUAAGUACCCUAAACCCAGAUGCCCAGACACCAGAGUAAAAACACAAUAGCAGCCAGGGCGGUGUGUCUCCAUUAGAGCCUGGCUGUCCUGACACAGCAGGCCCGAAUAUUCCAACAUGGCUGAAGCGCAAGAAAGAGACCUGAAAGCCACCUUCAUGAAGAUGGUAAAGGUCACUGCAGAGGGAAUGACCUGAAAGCCACCUUCAUGAAGAUGAUAAAGGUCACUGCAGAGGGAAUGAACAAAUUCCUUAGAGAUAUCCAGGAAAACACAAACAAACAAAUGCAAAAAGCAAUUAAAAAAUUCCCUCAAAGAAAGCCAAGAAAGAAAAAAAAAAACAAACAGUUGAAAGAAAUGAAUGAAACUGCUGAAGACCUGAAAUAGAAAUAGAAGCAAUAAAAAAGCCCCCACAAACUGAAGGAAUUCGGGAAAUAAAAAAUUUAAGAAUUCCAACAGGAACUAUAGAGGCAAGUUUCACUAACAGAAUACAAGACAUGGAAGAGAGAAUCUCAGGCAUUGAAGAUACAAUAGAAGAAAUGGAUGCACCAGU
This is a long non-coding RNA of Mastomys coucha (southern multimammate mouse), 1198 nucleotides long. RefSeq lists it as uncharacterized. The transcript has 5 exons. NCBI's taxonomy places the organism in Eukaryota, Metazoa, Chordata, Mammalia, Rodentia, Muridae. The record is from RefSeq and is a predicted model, not a curated record.